This 253-nucleotide ribosomal RNA is filed under the name uncultured bacterium. RNAcentral describes it as "partial 16S ribosomal RNA". It matches the Rfam family "Bacterial small subunit ribosomal RNA", at positions 524 to 776 of the family's 1533-position model. The record is from RNAcentral.
GACGUAGGUGGCGAACGUUAUCCGGAAUUACUGGGCGUAAAGGGUCCGCAGGCGGUCUUAAAGGUCUGACGUGAAAGCUCCUGGCUUAACUAGGAGAGGCCGUUGGAAACCGUAAGACUAGACUCACGCAGAGGUCGGUGGAAUUCCCGGUGUAGUGGUGGAAUGCGUAGAGAUCGGGAGGAACCCCAAAAGCGAAGGCAGCCGGCUGGGUGAUGAGUGACGCUGAGGGACGAAAGCGUAGGGAGCAAACAGG